Molecule: transfer RNA, 73 nt
Filed under: Capsicum baccatum
Lineage: Eukaryota; Viridiplantae; Streptophyta; Magnoliopsida; Solanales; Solanaceae
Rfam family: tRNA
About the family: Transfer RNA (tRNA) molecules are approximately 80 nucleotides in length. Their secondary structure includes four short double-helical elements and three loops (D, anti-codon, and T loops). Further hydrogen bonds mediate the characteristic L-shaped molecular structure. tRNAs have two regions of fundamental functional importance: the anti-codon, which is responsible for specific mRNA codon recognition, and the 3' end, to which the tRNAs corresponding amino acid is attached (by aminoacyl-tRNA synthetases). tRNAs cope with the degeneracy of the genetic code in two manners: having more than one tRNA (with a specific anti-codon) for a particular amino acid; and 'wobble' base-pairing, i.e. permitting non-standard base-pairing at the 3rd anti-codon position.
Source: Rfam by way of RNAcentral
GCCCCCAUCUUUUAGUGGUUUAGGACAUUUCUCUUUUAAGGAGGCAACGGGGAUUCAAAUUCCCAUGGGGGUA